Molecule: transfer RNA, 81 nt
Rfam family: tRNA
About the family: Transfer RNA (tRNA) molecules are approximately 80 nucleotides in length. Their secondary structure includes four short double-helical elements and three loops (D, anti-codon, and T loops). Further hydrogen bonds mediate the characteristic L-shaped molecular structure. tRNAs have two regions of fundamental functional importance: the anti-codon, which is responsible for specific mRNA codon recognition, and the 3' end, to which the tRNAs corresponding amino acid is attached (by aminoacyl-tRNA synthetases). tRNAs cope with the degeneracy of the genetic code in two manners: having more than one tRNA (with a specific anti-codon) for a particular amino acid; and 'wobble' base-pairing, i.e. permitting non-standard base-pairing at the 3rd anti-codon position.
AUCGGUAUGCUGAAAUUAGGUACCGGGUUCCACUUCGGAUGGAAUAGUUAACUGCUGCAGGUUCGAGUCUUGUUAUCCAUA